UCUUCGGAAUGUGGAAGAGUGGCGAACGGGUGAGGAACACGUAAGAAUCUGCCCCUCGGUCGGGGACAACUUUUGGAAACGAAAGCUAAUACCCGAUACGCUGUGGAGUGAAAGAAUUUCGCCGAGGGAUGAUCUUGCGUCUGAUUAGCUAGUUGGUGCGGUAAUGGCGCACCAAGGCGACGAUCAGUAGCUGGUCUGAGAGGAUGAACAGCCACAUUGGAACUGAGACACGGUCCAAACUCCUACGGGAGGCAGCAGUGGGGAAUUUUCCGCAAUGGACGAAAGUCUGACGGAGCGACGCUGCGUGAAGGAUGACGGCCUGCGGGUUGUAAACUUCUUUUCUCGAAGAAGAAGCUCUGACGGUAUUCGAGGAAUAAGCAUCGGCUAACUCCGUGCCAGCAGCCGCGGUAAGACGGAGGAUGCAAGUGUUAUUCGGAAUGAUUGGGCGUAAAGCGUCUGUAGGCUGUAUAGAAAGUCUUUUGUUAAAUACCUCGGCUCAACCGAGAUCCAGCAAAGGAAACUUCUAUACUUGAGGUAAGUAGAGGUACAGGGAAUUCCCGGUGGAGCGGUG
Molecule: ribosomal RNA, 571 nt
Filed under: uncultured Micromonas
Lineage: Eukaryota; Viridiplantae; Chlorophyta; Mamiellophyceae; Mamiellales
Description: bacterial SSU rRNA
Rfam family: Bacterial small subunit ribosomal RNA
Source: RNAcentral